CUGUAGAAGAAGCAAUAGAGACAAGAAAUGCUGUUUACAACCUUCAAUGGCCACCUAAUGGUGGACGCCUAUUGGUGGCUGACUUUGUUGAUCCCCAGGAAGUUAAAACCCGGCUUGAUGCUCCACCACAGACUCCAACUACUCCUGGGACUUCUGGUUCUACUGCUCCUCAAGCUCAACCUGCUUCUCAGCCCCAGCCCUCUCCACGUCAGCAGGUUUCUAGACAGCAGCAUCCACCACCUUCUGCACUUCCUCCACCGCCUUUGUCUAACCCUCCACCAGUUAGAGAACGGCUCCCUCUUCCUCUGCCACCGGCAGAGAAAGUAGAUCCUCCUAUUGUCACUCUGGAUGAUCUAUUUUGGAAAACCAAAGCAAUUCCUCGUAUCUACUAUUUGCCUUUGUCAGAUGAACAAGUUGCAGCAAAGCAAGCAGCACAUGGCAGAAACAUCUAGCAGUAGAGCUGAGGCUAUAGUUUUAUCCCUGGCUGCUCUUCUGGUUUUCAUAUCGGUUGGUCUGUACGUUAGUUAAUGGUAAGAGAACUGUCACAUAAUUGCAUGUUUGCAGGUCUGCAGGUUUUGCUUUAUAGGAAGGAAUUGUUGCAGCCGUGCAGAGGGAACUUGUCCAGUGAUGGGUAUUGGUUUUUCUGCCGGCUACUUGUGGGCUUGAGUUCAAGUUCCAUUUAGCACUAAAAUCCUUCAAAACUGAGAUCUCUCUGUAGUAAUGGAUCGAUUAUCCUUUGUUCUAAUUUGGUUUUCCUACAGAACAAUAGCCUCAACUCUUAUGAACCUGAUUUUGUAGAAUUUAACUUUUACUCUGGAUGUUAAUUUUACAUAGAUUUGUUAAAAGGGAAUGUAGGCUUACUCGUUAUAAGUAUGUGUAGUUUCAUCCAGGGUUUUUAUCAUUUAUUUAUGUAUGUGCAACGUACUUUGAACCUGAUGAUUGAGGUUCUUCUCUUCAUCUCAUACCUUGGAUUGAGCUUCGUAUGAGAUUAGAUUUUAUUUUAAGGCAAAAACCUAAAACUAUUAGAUGAAGAUUUUUAAAGUAUUAACAGUUCACAAUGUUAGUGUUUAUAAUUGAUAAAUACAUUUAUGAAAAAAUAAAUUAUUAAAAUUUCACAAAUUAUAAAAAUAUUUAAUAUGGAUGUAAUUAUAUUUAUAAUUAUAAUGGUAAAUUUUGUCCCACUUUAAAGUUUUUGCACAAAUAAGAGUCAUAUUAAAUGGGCUAAAUUUGAUUAAUAUGCUGGGCUUUUUUAAAUUUAGACUUUAGGUCAGUUUUAAAAUUAAUUAGGGAAAUAGGCUAUUUUUAGGAGGGAGAAAGUGAAAGUGUGUUUAGCUGGACGGUAAAAUACAAUGGCUUUUUGAUCAUUGUUGCGUCAAACGGUAAAAAGAAAUUGUCAAAAAAAAAAUUUAAAAUCUCCCAACAAUAAUUUUUUUUAACUUAUAAAUACCUCCCAAUUUUUAUUGUUUUCAUUCACAUUCUUCUCUCAAUUCUCUCAAGCUUCUUAUUCAAUAUUUAUUUAUAUUUUCAUUUAAAAUAUUAUUUUUUAAUUAUAUUAAAUUUUAUUCAUUCGGGUCAAUUUCUUGAAAAUAGACGCCUCUCUAAUUUGUUUCGACGACGACCAUAUUUUUACUGCCCAAUUAGUAAUGGUAAGACGAAAUUUAAAAUUUUAUUUUUUUAAUUAUGUUAAUAUUUUUUUUAUAAGUCUAAAUAUUUUUUUUAUGUUAUAAAUAGACGGGGAGCCUCCGAUCCCUGAAAUUUAUGGGUACCGGUAAGAGGUCCGAUUCUUGCAUGCAUCUCUCAUGCAAGGGGCCUACUAUCUGUGCAGAAAAUACACCCGGUUGGACAAGUUUUCACUUUCUCUUUCCUAAAAACGAUAUAUUUUCUUAAUUAAUUUUAAAUUGAUCUAAAGGUCAAAUUGAAAAAAAAACCUGGGCAUAUUAAUCAAAUUUAGCCUAUUAAAUGUCAUUUUAAAUAUUUUACAUAUAUUUUAAAUAUUGAUAAUGUUGUUUUAAAAGAAAUUGAGUUAUUACUUUUUUUUUUUUAAUUAUACAUAAAAUUUAAAGUAUUUACCAAAAAAGUAGAUCCAUUUUAUAAUUUUGAAAUCCUUUAUGCCACCUCAAUUAUGAUGAAAAAACGAUCAAGAAGGGCAAUUUAGGCAUUUGAAUAAAACCAAAAUGGGUUUUUCUAGAACAAUUGGUCUCUGCCUUUUUGGAUUCGAUAAUACGACAGAGGCAAAUGGUUUUUUUAAAACCCUAAUUUCACCAUUGUUUCAAUUUUCUCCCCAUUUUCUCUCUCAAAAUCCUAAAAAGAAAAGAACAACCAGGUUAUAUUAUAUUCACAACAGCCAAAAAAUAAAAAUCAAUUGCUCAUCCACCACUCUCAUAAAAUUCAUUUUCUAUUUUCCAUUUACUUUUUUUUUAUUUUGUUUUUUCUUCUAAUUUUUCCUUAUUUUCGAUAACUUUCUCUUUGUUGAAAACUAGGGUUUGCGCUAAUGGUGGGUUUUGUCUGUUGAAAUUAGGGUAGUUUUGGGAUAAAUUUUCAAUUCUCCUGUAAGGGAAGUGUGGUUGUAGUGGCUUCCCAAAUAUAUAGGCCUGUGAGUAAUCUCUAUUUCUUUCCUCUCUGCAUGCAUUUUUAAUGGGUGUUAUUGCAAUUUUUUUUUAUAAAUACGAUUAGUUUUGGGUGCGAUUGUUUCAGUUCAUUAGUUUCUUGUUAAAUCGGCAUUUCGUUUCUUGCUGGUUAUGAAUUUAUUUUUCAUUACGGAAGCUAGGAUAAAGAAAAUUUUGGGCUGGAAAUGUAUUUACUGUUUUUUAUGCCUUAUUUUGUUCGUAUUUGUGCUUUUUGGGAGAAAGGGGAGCUUUCUUGUAUAUAUUCUUUGUCCAGGCAAAUAAGGUGUUUUUUUUAAACCCUCGUUUUGUGGUGUCAGGUUUUGUGUUAACUAAAUACUUCAUUGCUUUCCUUUUCUAUAUUUUACAUGAAGAUUUGCUAUUCUUCUGGGUUAAUUUCCUGGAAUUAUUUUAUUGGCUUUGCUGCAUUUAUUCAAAUUGUUUAAACAGCUAUAUAUCAUUCCUUCGGCUCCUUUAUUUCUUCUACCUUAUAAGCACGAUUUAACUUUAUUUUGCAGUAUAACAUGCUUUCUUUGGUCUUGUUGGCGCUUUAUUUCUACUGCACAUGUUUUACUAGAAUCUUUUUUGUUUGGCUUUUUUGGUGAAUGACUGAGAAAUGUGACCUUUUCUAGUAGGUUUGAAGGUGAGUUUGGGUUGGAAAAGAUGUCAUCAAAAUAUCAAAUACUUGACAAUAGACCAAUUGAUCAAUGGAAGGUUACAGAGUUGAAAGAAGAACUUAAGAGGCGGAAACUGACAACUCGGGGCUUGAAAGAGGAGUUGGUAAGACGUUUGGAUGAGGCCGUUAGAUUGGAAAGGGAAAAUGGUGAAACUGAGGAAGAUAAUGGUUUUAAUUCUGAUCCCCAGCCUACAGAUGAGCGAGGGAUUGAAAAGGCAAUUCCAGUUAUUGUUGAGACAGUUAAAGAUGAUGUGGAUCAUAGUGGCCGUGAGAUCGAGAAGGAGAGUGGGGUGAAGGUUCAUGUUGACAUUAAUGAGAGUGCAGCUGCUUUGGGUCAUGAAGGAGUUCAAGGAAGCGACAGCUUGGUGGAAAAGGAGCUUGUUUCUGAAACCACCACUAUUCAGACUGAGAUAACGGUUACCAAGAAUGUGGUAUCUGAGGUACCAUCUACUGAGAAAGAGAGCUCAGGGCAAAAUGAGAAUGUGAAUACUGAUAUCAAAGUGGAGGGUAAGGAUCCUAAGCUCCAGUUCGAGACUGAUGAUCCAAAGCCUGAGGUGGAGAAUGAUGAUCCAAAGGGCAAACUGCAGGGUUCAAAUCCUCAGCUGGAGAGUGAUGAUUCAAAGCCUCAGCUUGACAUUGAAGAUUCGAAGGUGCAGCUGGAGAACGGGGGUUUGAAGGUUCCACACGAGGAUGAUGUGCAUGAUUCUUCUGCUCCGAACAUCCAGGUAUCUGAGGUCAGCCCUGAUUUAGGGUUGCAAGUAAAAUCUGAUUCUAUAUCUACUGAUUCUGUCUCAAAUAAUGAAAAGAUUGAAUUAAAGGAUAAUAUACUUGCUGAUAAUGUCAAAUUAGACUUAGAUGUUGUAAAGCCAGAGAUGGUGGAACCAUCAUCCAGUAAUGUUGUCCCAAUUAGUGGUGAAUCACAUCCAAUGGAUGUUGAAGAUCCACCUGAGAACAAGGCACCUGUUGAUGAGAGAGAUGGCAAGAAUGUCACAAAUGUAGACUUGGGUAAUAAAAAUGACAGUGCUGAGACGACCUACUCGGAAAAAUUAAAUUUGGAUAGAAGUUCUGGUGAUGACUCUAUGGAGGAGGAUAUGCUUGAGAGUAAACAAAUUGAUUCAAAAUGUAGUACUGAUGAAAUGGGAGAUAAGAGUGAGAAUAAUGGAGCACCUAUUAUCAAGGAGAAAAUUCCUCUUGGUGAUGUAAGAGAUGAUUUAUCUGUUAAUAAAAAGGACACCUUGGUUGAGAAUAAGAGCCGAUCUUUUGUUCCUGCUGAGAAAAGAAAGCUUCAUGGUAAGUGACAAUGGCCUGCAAUUGUUACUGCCUUUCUUUGCAUGUGUGCUUACUUUUACCUUACUGAUAGCAUUUUGAAGCUAAGGUGAUUGGAUAGUAGUGCUUGUACUUAAUGGACAUUCUUAAGACAGAUAACUUAAGGUGGUUUUUUGAAACAUGAUCUGCUUAAGUUGCAGUUCUGGAAGGUGAUAAUCUUGUUUUUAAGUUCUUAUCUAUUUGAUAGUUUAUACACUACUUUAGUUUUUUUUUUCCAUGGAUGGUGCAUGCUUUACAUGUUCUAAAAGAGCUUUACGGGUUAGAGUGCUGCAUCUUUGGUUUGAAGUUAAUGUAUAUAGUUUUUGGCUAGAAAUUGCUGUGAUGUUCCUUCUUAGUACUUUUAUUGGUUCCUAUGACUGCCUGGAGCCUUAGAAACAAAAUUAUAGGUAUAUCUAAUAUUGAGCUUUCUCUGUAAUCAAGGGAGUUCAUUUUAAAAAUUUGAUCAGACAUGAGAAUGAAAUUAAUGUAGUUUCCUACUGGGUUAAUGGGCAAUUCUCACCUGAUGAGUUGUCUUUACAGAUCAGGAACCUGUUGGUAACAAUGAGCUUGCAAAACGGCGCAAAUGGAAUUCUGACAAUAUAGAAGUUCCAGAACAUCAAGGCUCUAAUCUUACACCCAUCAGCACACCUAAAGACACCCCUCAGCCUGCUGCUUUGAGACGUAACUUCUCUAGAUCAGACUCAACAGCAAGUGAAGGUGCACCAAAGGAACGAGUUGGUGAGUUGUCAUCUCUCAGUCAGCUGAUACGAAUUGAAUUCUUCUGAUUGUUGUUUUAACAUCUAAUUUUCUGUUUUAUCUUUAUUUGGCAGUUCCCCCUUCUCAAAAUGCUCCUACCACAUCCCUCAGAAUUGAUCAUUUUCUUCGCCCUUUUACCUUGAAAGCUGCACAAGAACUUCUAGGGAAAACUGGGACUGUAACUAGCUUCUGGAUGGACCACAUUAAGACCCAUUGCUAUGUUACAGUAAGACUUAUUGCUUUGUUUCCAUCUCCUCCGAUGGGACUUUCGUGGUCUAUGAUCAAAUACUCAUUUUGGCUUUUUAUUGUUGGGCUGAUUCAAUAUAUCUAAUCAACUUUGGGAAUUGCUUUAUUGGUGCAGUAUUCAUCUGUAGAAGAAGCAAUAGAGACACGAAAUGCUGUUUAUAACCUGCAAUGGCCACCUAAUGGUGGGCGUCUAUUGGUGGCUGACUUUGUUGAUCCCCAGGAAGUUAAAACUCGGCUUGAUGCUCCACCACGGACUCCAACUACUCCUGGGACUUCUGGUUCUACUGCUCCUCAAGCUCAACCUGCUUCUCAGCCCCAGCCCUCUUCGCGUCAGCAGGUUUCUAGGCAGCAGUUUCCACCACCUUCUGCACAUCCUCCACCACCGCCUUUGCCUAACCCUCCACCAGUUAGAGAACGUCUCCCUCUUCCGCCGCCACCUCCAGAGAAACCAGAUCCUCCUAUUGUCACUCUGGAUGAUCUAUUUUGGAAAACCAAAGCAACUCCUCGGAUCUACUAUUUGCCUUUGUCAGAUGAGCAAGUUGCAGCCAAGCAAGCAGCACAUGGCAGAAACAUCAAGCUGUAGAGAUCAGGCUAUAAUUUAUCCCUGGCUGCUCUUCCGGUUUUCUUAUCGGUUGGUCUGUAUGUUAGAUAAUGGUAAGAAAACUGUCACAUAAUUGCAUGUUUGCAGGUCUGCAGGUCUUGCUUUAUUGGAAGGAAUAGUUCCAGCCAUGCAGGGGGGAGUCCAGUGAUGGCUAUUGGUUUUCUGACAGCUACUUUGGGCUUGAGUUCAAUUUUCAUUUAGCACUAGAAUCCUUCAAACGUAGAGCUCUCUUUAGUUAUGGAUUGAUUCGCCUUUGUUCUAAUUUGGUUUUCCUACAGAACAAUAGCCUCAACUUUUAUGAACCUGAUUUGGUAGAAUCUUACUCACUCUGGAUGAUGUUAUUUUAAUAGAUUUGUCAAAAGGUUAUUUAGACUCCCUGGUAUCAUGUUAUUGAACUCGUUAUAUGUAUGUGUAGGUUUUAUCGUUCUGCUCUUCUAAACUUGAUGAAAGAAUGACUCAUGAGUAAUAACAGAGAUUCUUCUCUCCAUCUCAUAACUUUCAUGUUUUCACUUUUGAAUCACCAUUGUUAUAGAUGAGUUUGUAAAGAGUGGGGGGUCAGAGCAUGAGGCAGAGAUGAAGAGUCCAUUGCCUAGAGGUUGUGAAAAAGAGUUGAUGAAAGAUCCUGGAAGGGUGUUAUUGGUAUCAGAAUGGGGUUAUUGCUUGCACCAAACUCUGUUCGUAUUGGAAUGGUUAGGAUGAGGUGACUUAAGAAGUGAUGAGGUUUGAAAUUUUUAUACAUAAUUCAAUGUUACUCUGGAGGGAUUUAGAAAACAAGGAACGUGAUUGAUAGAUGUUGAAUGCGUUGAAGGGAUGUUAAUGCUAUAUGGAUGCUGUCCUUGGGAUUAAACUAAAAUUUCUAAAUAUUCAAUAUGUAUUUGAAUUCUAAUAAAAAUAAAAUUUUAAUUUGCUUCACGGAUUUUAUUUAGGGUGGGUUUGGAUGGGCAAUUGGGUGUUGUGUAGUGUGUUUAGUUUAUUUUUUGUCUCGUGUUAUAGUGUUGUUACAGUGUCUAAUCUCAUCGUGAUCGUUGUUUUUACACUAACCGCAAGUAAACGCAUUGUCCAUUCAAAUUCACCCUUGGUCUUUCACUUUUAACUUAACAUGCAAUUCUAAAGAAUUUAUUUCAUUACAAUGUUAUAAUUAUAAAUUAUUUUAUUUUAAUAAUUACAUGUAGGGGUGAGCGAAAAUCGCUCACUCGAAAUUUUUUUUUCAAAUUUUAAUUGAAUUGAAUUAAGUUAUUUGGUUUUUUAGAGUUCGGGUUUAGUUAAAUUUUACAAUUUGAAUAACUCAAAUAAUAUAUUUGUGUAAAUAUUUUUUUUGGUCACUGUUGAAAAUGAACAAAUUUGGUGUAGAUAACUUAUUGGAGUUGAUUGGUCGUUGAUCGAUGUUGACCGGUCACGUGGUACUAUUAGAAUACACUACGUAUCCUUUUUUUUGUUGUAAUAAUAUAUAUUAUAUUGAUAAAAAAAUAUACAAAAAACCAUAUAUAAUAUAUAAAAUAUUUUAAAAAUAUUUUUUUUUAUAAAAUUUUAAAAUAUAUAAUUUAAAUUUUGAAAAAUCAAAAUAAUAUAUAAAAAUUAAAAAAUGUUAUAAAAGUUAAAAGAAAACUUGAAAUUUAAAUACUUUUUUAGAAUUUUAGAAUUAUAUAUUUUAGAUUUUUAUAAAAAAAUUAUUUUUAAUUUUUUAAAAAUAUAAUUUUUUAUAAUUUUUAUAAUUUUUUUUUAUUUUUUAUAAUAACAUAAUUGAUUUCAACUAAUUUAUUUUAAUUUAUUUUUAAUAAUAUUUUUUUCUUUGAAAGUUUACAAGUAUAAAUACAAUAUAAGCAAAGUAUAAUCAUAAUUACAUGUUGGAGCAAUUAAGUAGAACCAAAGUAAUAUAAAUGACAAGCAACUUAAGAAUCGGAAUUAUUUGAGCUAAAAUCGACACAUUAAACUAAAAUUCAUAUAUGACAACACCACAUGAUGAGAUUAGAAACCCACAAUAAUAAUUGUGCAUAAUAAUUUUUAAAUAUUAAAACGCAAAUACCCAAGACUUCAACUUUUACUAUCAAUAUCAAGACCUCAUCAAGAAAGGAUGAUAAUAUUUCAACUUUGUUUAUGAAAUUAAAAAAAUAAAGUGAUGGACAUAAUGAAAAUUAAGGUGCAUUGAUAUCUCCCGAACCCUGGUUUUCACUGACGCUAACGCUAGCAGAGUCGGGCACAGCCGGGCCAGGGUGAACCUUACUCCUCCCAACAACAACCGUACAAGGUUGAGGCUUUGUCGACUCUUCAAUGCCUCUGCUUGCUUUCUCCUCUUCCGUUCUCUUCAUCUUCUCCUUCUGCCGCUUCUGCAUCACAUAAACCUCAGCACAGCUCGCUCCUACGGAAGACAUUCUUAACUAAUAUGGCCCUUCACUAUGAUACACGAUAAUGCAUGUGAUUUGGGAGAUGAAGAUGUAGGAGACUUGGGGAAUAUAUAGAGGGGGUGGGGUGUAAGAGGGGUGAGCUAGCCAUCACUAAUUCACUAUUAAUUUAAGCUCAUGGCAUUGCUGAAAAAUAUAGAAAUUAAUAAAAUAUAAUAAAUAUGAAUUUUGAGGUAAAAGAUUGCCCCUGCCGGAUUGCAUUUCUUCUUUGAAUAAAUUAGUCUUGUAGCCGAAAAAUUGGCGUUUCUGUUAAAAGUUACAUCUAAGUGAAAGGAUUAUGGAAGUCAUUGUACUAAGAGUUCAAUUGUACUUUUCUCUCUUACUCAAAAAAUACAAGGUAAAUUAAUUCGUUUACAUUAAAUUAAUGAGCAAACAUAUCCUUCAAUUAAAAUUCCAUUUAUUUCUACUAUUAAGUUACACAUGGUUGAUGGAGCAACCUUAUAGCAACAUAGUAGUAUGCCAGAUGUAUGUUGAUGUCACAUUUAUCACGUAAACAAAAAUUUUAAAUAUUAAAAAAAUCCUAAAAAUAAAAAAUUUUAAUAAUUAUUUAAAAAAGGGUGUUUAAGAUGAACCUGAACAAAAUUAUAGAAAAUUCUAAAAAAAACUAUUAAAAUUAUUUAAAAAAUAUUAAAAAUAACAUUCAAAAUGAACUUGGACAACAUAAUCAUUUAUCUAGAUUCACUCUAGAUUGGUUUCUUAAAACUGUAAUAAUUUUUAAAUAAUUUUCUAUAAUUAUUUAAAAAAUCACAUUAACAUGUGAUUCCUUGAGGAGUGAUUUUUUAAAAUAAUUACUAAAAAUUUUAUUCAUUUUUAUGAUUUUAAAAAAAUAAAUAUUACUACAUCAACAUGAGGUACAUGUUGUACGCCAUAUGCCACUGUCUGGUUGUUUUGUUAGCCCCGUCAACACUUAAUAGUAGAAAUGCAUGGAGGUUUUAAUAGAAUGAUCAGUUUACUCUUUGAUCUAACAUACAUGGACUAAUUUGUGCAUUUUUUAGUAGAUGGGGCAAAAUGCAAUUCGAUGCCUAGUAUAUGGGCCUCCAUGGUUCUUUUACCUAAUCCUACUCAUCCUUUAAUUCCAUAUAGCUUAUAAAGCCAAAUCAUCACCUAAGAGCACAAAUAGAUGGAAUUUUUGGCAAAAGUAUCAAUUUGCACUCUCUCUCCCCUUUUUUUUUUAACAUUUAGAGAUUAAUUUACCUAUUUUUUUGUGUAGAAGAGACAAAAAUACUAACCCCUAAUAUAAGGAUACCAAUUUUUCAUUUUUUAUAUAUGAGACAAUCAUAAUCUAGUUGCUUCAUUUUUCUUAACAAAAAUACUAACUAUUCAAUAGGUUUAGGAUUAGUAGAACACAAGUAUUUGUAUUUUUUUUUUGUAUAACUACAAAGGGAAAGCGUGGAGAAAGGUAGGGGUAAACAAUAAAAAUAGUCACUUUUGUUUGCCUUAGAUUACAUUUUAGUCACUUAUGUUUGAAAUGUUAUGUUUUAGUCACUUGCGUUGUCGUUUUGUUACAAAGUAGCCACUCUACAAUUAAGCUCCGUUAUGUCUCUAACAGUGGUCCUACGUGGCAGUCCAAAUGAGUUUUAAAUGCCAACUUGGAUGUCUUACAUGGUAGUCCAAAUUAAAUUUAUUUAAUUAAAAGCCUAUAUUCAUCCCAGCAAUUGGACAUCCAAGUUGUCAUUUAAAACCCAUUUGGACUGUCACGUAGGACUGUAGUAGGGAAGUAACUGAGUUUAAUAGUAAAGUGACUACUUUGUAACAAAACAAUAACAUAAAUGAUUAAAACGUAACAUUUCAAAUAUAAAUGACUAAAAUGUAAUCUGAAAUAAAUUAAAAUGACUAUUUUUGUAGUUUAGCUGAAAAUGAUGGGUAAGCUUGACCCCGACCCUUUGAAUUAAGUUAAUUGACGAUAAGGAAAAGAAAAGGACGUGGAAGAAGUGGAUGUUACAGGAAUAUAUAUAUAUAUAUAUAUAUAUAUAUAUAUAUAUAUAUAUAUACGUGAAUGAUGGGUUUUGCUUUUGGAGUGGCCAAUUAAACUUAGUGCCCAAAUCGAGAGUCGAUUGCCCACUGUGAUGAUACAGAAUUUAUGCAAAGUGACAUUGUUGAGUAUGAAUGUGGUGCUGCGUUGACUGUGUUAGAUCGUUGAUAGUGGGUGUGCUUUGUGUGUGGAGUAUUGUUUUGGAAGGUUAGGGAUAUUGGGACUGAGUCUGUGGAUGGUAAUCGGAGAAUAAAAAAGCAUUGAUUGCUAGUGAUUGGUAGUAUAAUAUCAUAAUCAAAACUCACGAUUUGGAUUAAACAAUAUUAUGUAAACACGUAUUUAUUUAAUUAACAAUCUAAAAUUAAAUGUAUUUUAUAUUCAGUAUUUUAAUAUUAUUGAAUUUUUAUUAAUUUAUAGAAAAAAACAUUUGCAUAAUAAUAUAAUUUAUUUUGUACAUAAAUAAAUUUAUAUCCGGAUAACUAAUUAUAAUAAAAUGGUGCCAUUUGUGAGCAUGGCGCAUGCAACUCAGAAAACGGUAAAUUGUUGCACCUUUCAUGAUUCAUGCCGUAGUAGUAAAAAAUCCAAAUCUAAAAUAACUUAAUUACAAUUUUAGAAUGAAUCUAUUUAAUAUCCAUGAAGAGUUUUAGUUUGAAAAAGCAAAAUCUUGAUAUAAAAAUAAUUCAUCAGAUUUGGAUUUAAUGUUUUAGAUGUUCUGCAAUUCCAAGUUUAAGUUUUAUUUCAAUUUUUAAGUCCCAUUAUAUAUAAGUUAAAAACUUUUUGAUAAUUUUAAAAUAGAGUUUUUACUUGAAGCAUCUUAAUUAUCACUUAAUUGAUAAUGUUACGUACUUUGCAUUAAUUACAUAAAUUAAAAUUAUAUUGUAUGUUGAAUAUGUUAAUGUUUUAAUUAUGAUUUGAAAACUUUCUAUUAUAAUAUUUAAAUUGAUAAGUUAAUAUAUUUUAAUUAUAUUUAAUAAUUUAAAAAAUGAAUUUUAAUUUACCUUAGUUAUUGCAAUUAAAUAUAUAAUGGUUAAAAAAUUGAUUAAUUAUUAAAACCGUAAAAUCACAUGUCAUGAAAAGCUAAUAUAUAUAAAAGCACGAGUUUGGAGGAAUUUUUUAACUAACGAGAAUACCCUUUAUUGUUAAUUAUAUUACUAAAUUAACAUUAGAAUAAUAGGUUAUUAAUAUUAUUAUGUGGUGAUAAUAAUAAAGUAAUAUAAAUUAAAUAUUAAUUAAUAUGAUAGUAUAUUAAUAUGAAAUUAAGUAAUUUUUCUAUAUCUUUUAAAAGUUGUUGAAAAAACAAAAUAUAUUAUUAAUGAAGAAAAUUAAAAAUCUAUAAAAUCCUAUAAUCGGAUAAGUUCAAAAUAAUAAAAAUCCAAAAUUUUUAAUUAGCUAAAUAUAAUUAUAUAUAUAUAUGAUUUUAUUUUAAAUAUGCUAAUAAUUUAUAAUGUUAAAAUUAAGUUUUUAUAAUCAAUAAAAAUUAAACAUUAACAUUAUGUAUAAAAAGAUAAUAUCAAGAUAUGGGUAAUUUAAUCUGUAAUGUGUAGAUUUAUUUGUUUUUAAUUUACAUGUCAAAAAUAAAAAAAUAAAAAUAUUUAGAUUUAAAUUAAAUAUUAAAUUUUUAUAAAUUAAUUGUAUCUAAUCAAAUUAGCUUGAUUCAAUACAAAUCUCGACUUGACAAAUAUUGAGAAAUUAAAAUAAAAAAAAUGAUGAAUUAAGAAUUAAUAUUUUAUAUUAUAUAUAUAUAUAUUUCUAAAUCUAUAAAAUCAAUGAUAAUAAUACAAUAUAAAAAUUAAUUGCAUGCAGAAGUGCAAACGCUUCCAUUAUCCAAAACAAAUAAUCAAAUUCAGAGGUCUGACUUGAGAAUAUUAAAAUUAAUUAAAGAAAUUAUUUUAAUAAAAUAAAGCUACUGUUAUGGCCAAUUAUUAGGUUGGUAGGCUACAUUUAUUGUCAGCAUUUCCACCUCUGAGACGCCCGACCCUACUCACCUAACCAACAAUAUCAGCUCUCCGGUGUCUAUACUUUGAUGGAAUAUGAUGCUAAAAAGCAGGCCAUGCAUGAAACUCACCUCAAUGCAUUGCAUUUUACUAUUUGAUUGCAAUUUAUUAAUCAGAAAUAGUUGCAUUCAAAUCUUGGAGCCUACUUUAUUACAAACUUCAAAGGUGAAUGUUGGUGCAAUAUUCCAAUUUGCAGAUACAUAAAUAUAGUUAGAUCAUCUUGCCAAUUUAGUACUAAAAAAGAAAAUCAAGUUGUUAAGCAACUCACAUAAUAAAUCUAUAUUAAAUUUUAAAUUAAAACUUUUUUCUUAUCAUUAACCCAAAAAGUUUAUUACUUACUGGUGGAUCCUAGUAAAAUUUUCAAAAUAUUUACGAGUUUAGAAAUUGGGGAUCAAUUAAAAUUUUCAAAUAUUUUAAAUGAGCUUAAUUAAGAUUUUUAAAACAAAUUAAAAGGUAUCAUGAGAAUUUUCAAAAACUUGAUGGGUCUAAUUAAAAUUUUCUAAAAACUUCAAGGGAUACAUGAAAUUUUUCAAAAAUUUUGGGGGUUUAAAUAAAAUUUUUUAAAAAUUUCAAGGAAAAAAUCAUAAUUUUCCAAAAAAAAAUUUGGGGUGGGGGGGAAGGCCACCUAAGCACUUUAAACAGUCCGCCUCUGCCACCAAUAUAUUAUUUAAAUAAGACCAAGAAUACCAAUUUAGUAUUUUAAUAAUUUAAUAAAAUUAUUGUUUGUAUAUUUAUAUAAUCAAUAAAAUUAUAACGAACGAGUUUGGUAUAAUAGAAAGUUAUCACUUUCUAUAAAAUUUAAUUGGUUAAUAUGUGAUUCUAAUGUUUGGUAUGUAAAAGUUAAAUUACUGCCCUCGUGAGUUACUUUCUCACAAGUAAUGAAAAGUGAUUCCUUUAGUAAUAGGUGUGAAAGUUACUCUCUCGUGGAAAGUAAAAAGAAUUUGUUAGAGUAAAAUUAGUCUCUUUUUGUGUGUGUGUGUGUUUAGGAUAAAAAUUCAAAAUGAAUGUAUUUUUUUGUUAUAAAUAUAUAUUUUUUUAAAUUAUACUUUUUCAUGGAUAUCAAAUUUUAGCAUCAAGAUAAUUUCAAGUCAUAUACGCUAUAUAUGAAUACACUUGAAUUUAUCCUGUAAUGUACCGAGUAAAAUUUACUUCACAAUCUUGAAAUAAUUUACAAGUUAUUUUUUAAUUGUAUUCAUGUAAUGGAUUCCACCAAAACGUGAGCAAAUAAUAUUUAUAGAUUAAUUCAAAUAUUUGUUUACCGAAAAUAUUAUUAUUAAAUAUUUUUUUUAAUUUACAAUAUAUAUAUAAGCACGAGUUUGAAAAAAAAUUUGAAUCGAUCAGAAUAUUUUUUAUUUUAUUUUAUUAUAUUACUAAAUAUAAUUAUAAUGUAAUUCAUAUACAUUAUAGUUACAAUUUAAAAUUGUAAACAUAUAAAUAUUAUUAUAAAGUUAUGGUAGUUUAGAAGGUGUGAUAAGUUUAUAUAUAUAUAUAUAUAUAUAUAUAUAUAUAUUAGUUUAAACAUCUCUAAGAUACAUUUUAGUUUAAUAUUACAAAUUAUAAACAUAUCUAAAUAUUAGUAGUAAGUUUUAUUUUAGUUUUAUUACUCAUAAAGUAGAAAGCUACUUCAAUUAAAUAACAAUAAUUACAAAUUGUAUUCACAUUUAAAUAUUAUUAUAAGAUUAAGCAUGACAUUUUAAUAUAAUUAUAAUUUAAUUUAAAACUAUUAAUUCACAUUUAAAUAUAAAGUAGUAGUAAUGCUUGCAAAUUGUAUUUUCAAUUAUUUUAUAUAUUUUGUGAUGAAUUAUUAUUAAAAACAAUAUAUGGUACGUUUUGUAAAUUUUGUGUAUGCACCGUAAUUUUUUUUAUGAUAUUUAAUUACUUUAUAAAUUAAUUAUAAUUAUAAUUAUAAUUUUAUAAUUGUUUAGGUAAUUUAUAACUCUAGCACAAUUCAACUAUUAUUAUGUAAAUUAAUUUGAAUAUAUGAGAAGUAGAUGAGUUGAAUAGGAGGUAAGUUUAAAAAAUCUAUUUAUUAUAUUUUGAUAAAUAUUUUUCAUAAAAUAUUAUUUAAUUUAAAUGUUGUUUGCAUUAAGUAUGUUAUGUAUUUUUUAUCUUUUACUUUAAAAAAUAAACGCAUAUACUACGUGCAAUUGGUCUGCCAUAAUUUGAUAAGUUAAAUUAGACUCUCUAGAACACUUGAUGAGUUUGUUCUCAAGCAAUUUACGAGUCUUUUCUAUUCUUUUUUGUUAAUUUUUAAUUUUUAGUAUUUAUGAUCGUUCUCCUUAGUUUUGGUCUUUUUGAAACCCAAAUUGGCAAAAUGGUGUCAAUAGGAGUCUAUAGUGUAAUUGAGUUUGUGUAGGGAGACGACGACGACCAAACCUUGAGGAGAACCGCAUCUGAUGUGGCUGUCAUGACACUGAGCCUCCAUUACCUCAAGGGUAUAAGACUUCAACGAGAAAUCAACUUGGAGCAGUAUGCCAAGGGUGUUGCGACAUUAAGAGUGUUGUGUCACGACACCAAGCCUCCAAGGUCGCGAUACCACUGCUGAUUGUUGAAGUGAAAAAGCCAGGACUACUGCUGAGGAUGUCGCAACACCAACCAGCUAGUGUUGCAACAUUGAGAACCCCUAAAGCUAAGAAUGUUUUGUCACAACACCAAGCCUCGAAGGUCACGAUACCACUGCUGAUUGUUGAAGUGAGGAAGCCAGGACUACUGUUGAGAAUGUCGUAACACCAACCAGUUAGUGUUGCAACAUUGAGAACCCCCAAAGCUAAGAGUGUUUUGUCACGACACCAAGCCUCCAAGGUCGCGAUACCACUGCUGAUUGUUGAAGUGAAGAAGCCAGGACUACUGCUGAAGAUGUCGCAAC
Molecule: long non-coding RNA, 15418 nt
Filed under: Gossypium barbadense (sea-island cotton)
Lineage: Eukaryota; Viridiplantae; Streptophyta; Magnoliopsida; Malvales; Malvaceae
Description: long non-coding RNA (GBAR_LNC014714)
Source: RNAcentral